Molecule: transfer RNA, 91 nt
Filed under: Erythrobacter sp.
Lineage: Bacteria; Pseudomonadati; Pseudomonadota; Alphaproteobacteria; Sphingomonadales; Erythrobacteraceae
Also listed under: 11 other names
Description: tRNA-Ser
Rfam family: tRNA
About the family: Transfer RNA (tRNA) molecules are approximately 80 nucleotides in length. Their secondary structure includes four short double-helical elements and three loops (D, anti-codon, and T loops).
Source: RNAcentral
GGAGCAGUGGCCGAGUGGUCGAAGGCGCACGCCUGGAAAGUGUGUAUACGGCAACCCCGUAUCGAGGGUUCGAAUCCCUCCUGCUCCGCCA